Molecule: long non-coding RNA, 1135 nt
Filed under: Piliocolobus tephrosceles (Ugandan red Colobus)
Lineage: Eukaryota; Metazoa; Chordata; Mammalia; Primates; Cercopithecidae
Description: lncRNA (ENSPTEG00000002254.1)
Source: RNAcentral
AAAAAAGGAAAAAAGUAUAUACACAUGUGAAUGUGCACUCACAUAAAUAUGUACAUGUAUAUCCACCACACAUGUAUAUCCACCACACAUGUAUAUCCGCCACACACAUAUAUACGUUUUAGUAUACCUCCAUUUCAUUUCAUUUCAUUUCUUUUUUUUUUUUUUUUUUUUUUUUUUUUCAGUGAACUACCUAACGAAUGAGUAUAACAAUCUCCUCUGCUCUGUUAAAGAAAUACAAAAAGAUGUUUAUUUUUUUUUGAAAUCCGCAUACUAUGGUAAACCGUUGAAUAAGAGUUUUUUACAAAUGGAGCGUGUCUUACUACUAUACAAGAUACCAUCCAAAUGGAAACACCUAUCAAGUGGCGAGAACAAUCUAAUUAGCUUCUUUACCAAAAUAAAAAAAAAAUUAGACUACCUUCAAACUAUAAUUAAAAAAGAACAAAAGGGAGAAGAGUGUGUUUAUAAUCUAGCCAUGUUUAAAAACCCAUUACUAUUUUUUUAUUCACACUAUUUUACAUGCGCAAAUAAUAUGCACACUGACAUUAGUAAUUUAAGCACCUGCUUUAAAUAUUCGGAAACUGUUGACAUUAAUGAUAAAGGCUUAUGGCUGGAACGUAUAAAAAUUUAUAAAAGUAACUUUAUUAAUAGUCAAAAAACCAUACAGCAUAAAUAUAUACAUAAAAAGAACGAGGUGUAUUUUAAUAUAUGUAAUGAAGAAAAAAAAAUAAAUGAAAUAGAAGAUUUAAGUUGUGAAAAAAAAAAUUCAAGUGAUGACAAUUUUGUUGAAACAAUAGAUAAUGCAAACGAUGGGAAUGUGAAGAAAGACACUAACCCUAGGACAUGCAACCAAACCGAUAUCGACAUAAAUACAAUUUUGAACAAAAAGAAGAACAUAUUUAAUCAAAAUUGCUAUAAAAACUUUAUUAAAAAAAAAGAAAAGAAUUUUUAUUAUGAUACACCAUAUAUACUAAUAAAAAUAAAAAAAAAAAAAAAGGCCGAAAAUGCACAUUACAAUCAAAACAUAGAAAAAAAUGCUGAAGUAAAAGACUGUAGUGAAAAUGGUCAAAAUGUAAAUGAGACUAUGUUUGACAUGCGGCAGCAGUGCAAUUAUUUUCUAGACGCUUUCACUAAUAAU